CGCCUUGCCAGCCCGCUCAGAAACUACAAAGGAAUUGACGGGGCCCGCACAAGCGGAGGAGCAUGUGGUUUAAUUCGAUGAUACGCGAGGAACCUUACCUGGGCUCGAACGUAAGAUGACUGUAGGUGAAAGCUUACAUCUCUUCGGAGCAUUUUACGAGGUGCUGCAUGGUUGUCGUCAGCUCGUGCCGUGAGGUGUCGGGUUAAGUCCCAUAACGAGCGCAACCCCUACCUUUAGUUGCCAUCAGGUUAAGCUGGGGACUCUAAAGGAACUGCCUACGCAAGUAGUGAGGAAGGCGGGGAUGACGUCAAAUCAGCACGGCCCUUACGUCCAGGGCUACACACGUGCUACAAUGGCCGAUACAGAGGGCAGCUACCUGGUGACAGGAUGCAAAUCUCCAAAGUCGGUCUCAGUUCGGAUCGGAGUCUGCAACCCGACUCCGUGAAGUUGGAUUCGCUAGUAAUCGCGAAUCAGAAUGUCACGGUGAAUACGUUCCCGGGCCUU
Molecule: ribosomal RNA, 504 nt
Filed under: uncultured Sphingobacteriales bacterium
Lineage: Bacteria; Pseudomonadati; Bacteroidota; Sphingobacteriia; Sphingobacteriales
Description: bacterial SSU rRNA
Rfam family: Bacterial small subunit ribosomal RNA
Source: RNAcentral